UUGAAGGUGAUGUGAUGUUCUAAAAUUCUAAUCUCUAUCUACGAUAUUGCUUUUUAACAAAGUAUAUGGGUGAUAUGAUAUUCUAAACAUAUAUAAGUGUAUUUCUAAAUUUUAUAAAGGUUUCUUCUUGUUGUCCCUGGCCAGUAGCAUUAUGUUUUGUUGCAUGUUAUCAGAAUUGUAUGGUCACUACUUUUGAAGCCUUUCUGACUGAACAAUACCCAGCUGUUUGUCAUAAUUGCUAUCUAUAUCAUGUGAUGUAACCCUGACUGCUAUCACUUUUAAAAAAAAACAGUUAGUUAAAGUCUUCUUCAAUCUGUUUCACUUAUUUAGUACGAAUCAGAAGUGAACUUAUACAGAAAUUAUCAAACAAGUUGGAAGACUAAAAACUUUGAUACACUCAAAAAGUCACUUUUUAAGUUUAAUUAUUUCCGUUCGAAAUUGAAUAUACAAUCAAUAACAAAUUAGAGUCACAAAGUAAAUUUAACUUUCUUAAAGCAAUAUUUUAAAUUAAAAAAAUUUAGAAAAAAACUUGUGAUUGUUGUGUUGUUUCUUCUUCCUACAAAUUAACCUUAUU
Hydra vulgaris (swiftwater hydra) is the source of this 574-nucleotide long non-coding RNA. RefSeq lists it as uncharacterized. The record is from RefSeq and is a predicted model, not a curated record. NCBI's taxonomy places the organism in Eukaryota, Metazoa, Cnidaria, Hydrozoa, Anthoathecata, Hydridae.